RNAcentral lists this ribosomal RNA (460 nucleotides) under uncultured bacterium. RNAcentral describes it as "partial 16S ribosomal RNA". It matches the Rfam family "Bacterial small subunit ribosomal RNA", at positions 338 to 795 of the family's 1533-position model. The record is from RNAcentral.
CCUACGGGAGGCAGCAGUGAGGAAUAUUGGUCAAUGGACGCAAGUCUGAACCAGCCAUGCCGCGUGCAGGAAGACGGCUCUAUGAGUUGUAAACUGCUUUUGUACGAGGGUAAACGCAGAUACGCGUAUCUGUCUGAAAGUAUCGUACGAAUAAGGAUCGGCUAACUCCGUGCCAGCAGCCGCGGUAAUACGGAGGAUUCAAGCGUUAUCCGGAUUUAUUGGGUUUAAAGGGUGCGUAGGCGGUCGGUUAAGUUCGAGGUGAAAUCCCGAGGCUCAACUUCGGAAUUGCCGCUGAUACUGUUAGGCUAGAGAGUAGUAGCGGUAGGCGGAAUGUAUGGGGUAGCGGUGAAAUGCUUAGAGAUCAUACAGAACACCGAUUGCGAAGGCAGCUUACCAAGCUACGUCUGACGUUGAGGCACGAAAGCGUGGGGAGCAAACAGGAUUAGAUACCCUUGUAGUC